CCCACACCACAUUCCCGCACGCCCGCCGCUGCCUUCUAGCCGUAGUAGUUGCCGCGUUCGCUCACCAUUGCCUGAGUUUUCUCGGUGCCUCCAUGACUGAAGCUCUCCACUUUUGCUGUUAUGCUUUCAAUUAGGCGAGCUCUCCUCAAACACAACUCUUAAGGCAGCCCAGCUGGUUGUUUCAUUGCACACAAACCAGGGGGUCCUGGGUUCGAAACCCAGCUGCCUCCUUUCUUUCUCUGUCUUUAUUUUUCUUUUGCCUACACACACACAUUCAGCCGCUUGGGCCAAUUCCACACUUCUGGGCUUGCACAGUGCGUCGAAUCCGGCCUGCGUAUGUUUUUUUCUCUGUUCCAUGCGAUUCUGCAUUUAUUCUUUUCCUGCAUAUUACAGAAAAAUGCCAUCAUUUCUUUUGAAGGAAAAAAAAUGAUGACAAAAAAAAUAUCCAUGCAUCCAAAUAAAACAUGUCAUAUAUUUAAAAUACUUAGAAUUUCAUGUACUUUCACAAUAUGCAACUUUCAUCCCUGUUAAAAAUAUUUAAAAUUGUUGUUUCAUUAAUUUGCAUAAAUGCCAUGUUAAAAUGCUUUAUUUUAUAACUAAAUAACCGUAGCUCCGAAUUGAAUAAACUUCACAUGUAAAUAGAGUGGAAAAUUGCAUAGAUUAACAUGAUCCACUUUAUUUUCCUGUUUAACAACAAUAAAAUAUGAUUUGGGGCAGAACAGUACCAAAUCCAAAUUAUGCACAUGGGGAUUUUCUGGAAUUGUUGUUUGUCAUUUCGGCCUUAUUUAAACUUGCCUAGAUAGAUAGUUUUACUAUGCUUCACCUCUUGUCAUGUUUAACAACAUUUAAUAUGGUUGAGUACAUAAACGAGAGCGAACUAAAUAAUUGAAUGUGGUGUUUUGUCAAUAUGCAACUCGUUGCAUAUUGAACUCCACUUAACUUGUAGUAUUGUUUGUUGCACUUUGCCAUGUCAUGCCUCAUUAAACCGGACAUGCAUCAUAUUUGAUUAUGCAUCAUGCAAUGUUUAUGUGAUGUUUGUUUACCAUGUUGUUUGCUUCUUUCCGGUUAUGCUUCUUCUCGAUAGUUCCCGUUUCGUUGCGAUCGUGAGGAUUUGUUCGACUACGCUUGGUUCGUCUAUGCCCAUUCGUCUUCUUCGUGGACUCUGUCUUCUUCCUAGCGGGAUUUCAGGCAAGAUGACUGUCACCUUGGAUCUCACUACUAUCAUUGCCAUGCUAGUUGUCUCGAUGCUAUUGCUAUGUCGCGUUACCUACCACUUGUUUAUCAAGCCUCCCAAAUUGCCAUGAUAGCCUCUAACCUUUUUUCCCCUUUCUAGAAAAUCGUUGUUUGGCUAUGUUACUGCUUGCUCAGCCCCUCUUAUAGCGUUGUUAGUUGCAGGUGAAGUUGAAGAUUGCUCCAUGUCGGUUCAUGGAUAUCUUGGGAUAUCACAAUAUCUCUUUUUUAAUUAAUGCAUCUAUACUUGGUAAAGGGUGGAAGGCUUGGCCUUAUGCCUGGUGUUUUGUUCCAUUCUUGUCGUCCUAGUUUCCAUCAUAUCGGUGUUAUGUUCCUUGAUUUUGCGUCCCUAACACGGUGAGGGGUAUGGGACCCUUUUGAUAGUUCGCUUUGAAUAAAACUCUUCCAGCAAGGUCCAACUUUGGUUUUACCAUUUGCCUAAUAAUAACUAAAACUUGCAUAGGGACCCGCCGCUACCCGAGGUCUUUUAAUCAACCCCCCGGGCCAGCGCUCCACAUGAGUGUUGGUCCAAACUAGAGCACCGUGCGGGACCGUCCCUUUGGCAACUUGGGUUAUGUUGGUACAUGUACGCUUAGCUCAUCCGGUGUACCCUGAGAACGAGAUUGCGCUACUCCUAUCAGGCUUGGUCGGUGCAUCGGGAGGUCUUGCUGGUUUUGUUUCACCAUUGUCGAAAUGUCUUGUGCACCGGGAUUCCCAGUCUAAUCGAAGGGUCCCACGAUGGAGGAUUGUCUCCGCGGAUCGUGAGCUUGUCAUGGGCUAAGUUGGGACACCCCUGCAGGGUUUAAACUUUCGAAAGUCGUGCCCGCGGUUAUGUGGCAGAUGGGAAUUUGUUAAUAUCCGGUUGUAGAGGACUUGAAGUAAACUCAAUUAAAAUACACCAACCGCGUUGCGUAACCGUGAUGGUCUCUUUUCGGGGAAGUUCGAGAGGAGAACACGGUUGGGUUAUGUUUGAACGUAAGUAGUUCAGGAUCACUUAUUGAUCAUUAUUAGUUUGCGAUUGUUCGCGUAGCUUCUCAUCUUAUUCUUGAUUGCUGAUUCCUCAUGGCUCACAGAUUACUACAACAACAGUUGCAGGUACAGGUAAUGCGAUGAUCCGACGUGAGAGCGAUGCUUGCUUGUUUUCGAGUUCUUCUGCUUCUUCUUCGAUCAGGGGUUAGGUUCCUGGUCGGCAGCCUGGGCUAGCAGGGUGGAUGUCGUUUGAGCUUCUGUUUGUGAUUCAUCCGUAGUCGGAUGUUGUUCUCAUGUAUGAUGUUUGAUGUAUUCAUGCGGCAUUUGUAUGCCUUGUAUGUAUCCCCAACUAUUAUGUAUGGUACGAUGUAAUGAUAUCCACCUUGCAAAAGCGUCUUCAAUAUGCGCUUCUAUCCUUAGUGGUACCUUCGAGUUCCUUUAGGAUAGGGUCGCAUAUUGGGCGUGACAUACUACUAGGAACCGGAUGGAGGAGUGUCUGCACUCUUAUUUUAUUUUAAAAUGUGAUAAAGCAAUCUUCAACACAUUUGAUUCUCUUCAAGGGUUCUCGCAUGUGAUAAUGGAAGUUGAUUGCAUGGAACACUCGCUUAAUUCUGGC
RNAcentral lists this long non-coding RNA (2815 nucleotides) under Triticum aestivum (bread wheat). RNAcentral's name for it is "long non-coding RNA (TAES_LNC017951)". The record is from RNAcentral. Lineage: Eukaryota; Viridiplantae; Streptophyta; Magnoliopsida; Poales; Poaceae.